AAACCAUAAGCCUUUCUUUUCUUGUGGCAGUUGAAAACACUCCUUUUGUGGAAUCUACGAAGGAACAUGUCAGAGCACACAGAAGCCUAUCCUGAAAUACUGAAUAUACUGUGAUAUAAAGUAGAUAAAAUCUAUCUGUGAAACUGUUUUGUGAUGUGUGGAUUCAGCUAACUAAGUGCAACCUUCCUUUUGAUUCAGCAGUUUGGAAACACUCUUGUUGCAUUUUCAGUGAAGGUACAUUUCAGAGCUCACUGACGCCUACAGUGAAAAAGAGAAUAUACCACAGUGAAAACUUGAUAGAAGCUAUCUGUGAAACUGCUUUUUAAUGUGUGCAUUCAGCUCACAGAGAUAAAACUUUAUUUUGAUUAAGGAGGUUGGAAAAACUUUUUGUAGACUCUGCAAGGAGACUUUUCAGAGCAAACUGAGGCCUAUAGUGAAAAACAGAAUAUCCCAUGAUAAAAACUAGAAAGAAGCUACCUGUUAAACUGCUUUGUGAUUUGUGAAUUCAGCUCACAGAGUUAAAUCUUUCUUUUGAUUAAGCAGGUUGGAAAAACUCUUUUUGUAGAAUCUGUGAGGGAACAUUUUGGAGCCCACUUAGACAUAUAGUAAAAAUCAAAUAUCCCAUGAUAAAAACUAGAAAGAGGCUAUCUGUGAAACUGACUUGGGAUGUGUGCAUUCAGUUCUCAGAGUUAAAUCUUUCCUUUUCUGUAGCAGGUUAGAAACACUCUCAUUGUAGGAUCUGCAAAGGGACAUUUCAAAGCCCACUGAGGCUUAUUGUGAAAAACUGAAUAUCACCAAUCAAAACUAGAAAGAAUCUAUCUGUGAAUCUGUUCUGUGAUGUGUGGAUUUAUCUCACAAAUUUAAACCUUUUUUUUAUUUCACAAGUUAGAAACACCCUUUCUGUAGAAUCUCUGAAUGGACAUUUCAGAGCCCAUUGAGGCCUGCACUGAAAAAUUGAAUAUCUUGUAAUAAAAAAUUAGAAAGAAGCUAUCUGUGAAACUGCUUUGUGAUCAGUGAAUUCAGCUCAAAGAUUUAAACCUUUCCUUUGAUUCAGUAGGUUGGAAACACUCUUUUUACAGAAUAUGUGAAGGUACAUUUCAGAGCCCAAUGUGGCCGAGAUUAAAAAACAAAACACACUGAGAUAAAAAGGAGUAAAGAGCUGUCUGUGAAACUGCUUUGUGAUGUCAGCAUUCAGCUCAAAGCGUUAAAUAUUUCUAUUGAUUCAGAAGAUAAAAACACUCUUUUUGUGCAAUCUGUGAUGGGACAUUUUGGAGCCCACUGAUUGCUAUAGUGAAAAACUGAGUAUCCUACAAUAAAAACUAAAAAUAAGAUAUGUAUGAAACUCUUUUGUGAUGUAUGGAUUCAGGACACAGAGCUACACCUCUCUUUUGAUUCAGCUGGUUAGAAACACUCUUUUUGUAGAAUCAGCAGUGGGACAUCUUGGAACCACUGAGGCCUAUAGUUAAAAGUGAAUAUCCCUUGAUAAAAACUAGAAAGAAGCUAUCUGGAAAACUGCUUUGUGAUGUGUGGAUUCAGCUCAAAAAGUUAAAACUUUAUUUUGACUCUGCAUGUUGGAAGCACCCUUUUUGUACUAUCUGCACGGGGACACUUCAGAGCCAACUGAGGUGUAGAGUGAAAAACCAAAUAUCCUGUGAUAAAAACUUGAAAGAAGCUAUCUGUGAUACUGGAUGUGAUGUUUGGACUCAGAUCACAGAUUUUAACCUUUCUUUUCAUUCAGCAGUUUGAAAACACUCUUUUUGUAGGAUUAGCAAAGGGAUAUUUCAAAGCCCACUGAGACCUCUUGUGAAAAAUCAAAUAUACCCUGAUGAAAAACAGAAAAUGCUUUGUGAUGUGUGGAUUCAUCUAACAAAGUUAAAACUUUCUUUUUAUUCAACAGGUUGGAAACACUCUUUCUUUAGAAUCUGUGAGGGGAUAUUUAGAAACCCACUGGAACCUCUAGAGAAGAACUAAAUAUCUCACAAUAAAAACUAGAGGGUGUAUCUGAGAAACUGCUUUGUGAUGUGUGGAUUCAGAUCACAAAAUUAAACCUUUCUUUUCAUUCAACAGUUUGGAAACACUCUUUUUGUAGAAUCUGCUAAGAAAUAUUUUGGAGCCCACUGAUCCCUAAAGUGAAAAACCGUAUAUCCCAAAAUAAAAACUAGACAGUAGCUAUCAGUGAAACAGCUUUGUGAUGUGUAGAUUUAGUUCUCAGACUUAAGCCUUUUUUUUUUUGCAGAAAUUUGGAAACAUCUUUUUAUAGAAUCUGUGAAGAAAUAUUUUGGAGCCCACUGAAGCCUAUAGUGAAAACUCAUAUAUCCCCAUGAUAAAAACUAGAGAGAAGCUAUCUGAAACUCUUUUGUUACAAAUGGAUUCAGCUUACAGAGUUUAACUUUUCUUUUGUUUUUUUUUUUUUGUUUCAUUAGGUUGUAACACUUUUUUGUACAAAUCUACGAGCCCACUAAACCUUAUAAUGAAAAACUGAAUUUCCCAUGAUAAAAAUUAGAAAGAAGCUAUCUGUGAAACUGCUUUCUUUUUGACGUGUGGAUUUGGCUUACAAAGUUAAACAUUUCUUUUGAUUCCAAAGAAUGGAAACAUGCUUUUUGUAGAAUCUGCGAAGGGACAUUUCAGAACCACUGAGGCCUGUAGUGAAAAACCAAAUAUCCCAUGACAAAAACUAGAAAGAAUUUAUCUGUGAAACUGCUUUGUGAUGUGUGCAUUCAGGUCAAAGAGUAAAAACUUUCUUUUGAUUCAGCAAGUUGGAGAAACCCUUUUUGUAGAAUCUGAUGGAAUAUUCAGAGCGAACCAAUGCCUAUAGUGAAAACCCGAAAAUCCCACAAUAAAAACUAAAAAGAAGCUAUCUGUGAAGCUGCUUUGUGUUGUGUGGGUUCCUGUCAGAGUUAAACCUUUCUUUUCAUUCAGCAGGUUUGAAACACUCUUUUUUUUAGAAUCUGUGAGGAAAUAUUCCAAACCCAUUGAGGCCUAUGGUGAAAAAAUGAAAAUUUGGGGUUAAAAAUUAGAAAAAAGCUAUCUGUGAAAAUACUUUGGGAUGUGUGCACUCAGCUCACAAAGUUAAACUUUUCUUUUGAUUCAGCAGGUGGGAAGCACUGUUUUUUUAGAAUCUACAAUGGGACAUUUCAAAGCCCACGUAGGCCUAUAGUGAAAAACCUAAAAUCCCACAACAGAAACUGGUAAGAAGAUAUCCUGAAACUGCUUUGUGAUCUGUAAAUUCAGCUCACAGCAUUAAACUUUUCUUAUAAUUCAGAAGGUUUGAAACACUUCUUUUGUAGAAUCUGUGAAGGGACAUUUCAAAGCCCACUAGGGCCUUAUAGGCCUGUGAAACUGCAUUGUAAUGUGUGGAUUCAGCUCCUGGAGUGGAACUUUUUUUUGAUUCAGCAGGUUCUAAACACUCUUUUUGUAGAAACUAUGAGGUGAAAAUUUGGAACCCACUAGAACCUACAGUGAAAAACUGAAUUUCCCGUGAUAAAAAUUAGAAAGAAAUGAUCUGUGAGACGACUUUGUGAUGUGUGGAUUCAUCUCAAAGAGUUAAACCUUUCUUUUGAUUCAGCAGGUUGGAAACACUCAUCUUGUAGAAUCAGCGAAGGGGUGUUUCAAAGCCCACAAAGGCCUACAGUGAAAAGCUGAAUAUCCUGUGAUAAAAACAAGAAAGAAGCUAUCUGUGAAACUACUUUGUGAUGUGUGGAUUUAACUAAUAGAGAUAAACCAUUCUUUUAAUUCACGAGGUGGGAAACACUCUUUUUGUAGAUCCGCGAAGGGACAUUUCAAAACCCAAUGAAGCCUAUAGUGAGAUACCAAGUAUCCCACAAUGAAAACUAGAAAUAUAAACUAGAAAAAUACUGUCUUUGCAACUAUUUUGUGAUAUGUGGAUUCAGUUCAAACAGUUAAAUCUUUUGAUUAAGCACUUUGGAAACACUCUUUUUGCAGACUAUGGCAAGGGAUACUUCAGAGCCCACUGAGGCCUAGAGUAAAAAACAGAAUAUCACGCAAUAAAAACAAGAAAAAUGCUAUUUGUGAAACUGCUUUGUGAUGUGUGGAUGAAGCUGACAGAGUUAAACCUUUAUUUUGAUUCAGCAGGUUGAAAAUACUAUUUUGUAGAACAUGGGAAGUCUCUUUUCUGAGCCUAGUGAGGUCUAUAGUGGAAAACUGAAUAUCAGGUGGUAAAAACUAGAAUGAUCCUAUCUGUGAAACUCCUUUGUGGUGUGUGAAUUCAGAUAAAAGAGUUAAACUUUUCUUUUGAUUCAGCACAUUGGAAACACUCAUUUUGAAGCAACUGCCAAAAAACACUUUGGAGCAUACUGCAGCCUAUAGUGUAAGACAGAAUAUCCUAUGAUAUAUACUAGAAAAAAAGUUGUCUGUGAAACUGCUUUGUGAAGUGUGGAUUCAUCUCAAAGAGUUAAACCUUUCUUUUGUUUCAGGAGUUUGGAGACACUCUUCUUGUAGAGUCUGCGAGAAGACAUUUUGGAAUUCACUGAGGGCUAUAGUAAAAGAUCAAAUAUCCUCAAGAAAAACUAGAAACUAUCUGUGAAACUGCCUUGUGAUGUGUGCUUUCAUCCCAGGGAGUUAAACUUUUCUUUUGAUUCAGCAGAUUGGAAACACUCUUUUUGUUGAAUCUGUGAAGGGACAUUUCAUAGCCCGUGGAGGCCUACAGUGAAAAACCAAUUAUCCCAUGAUAACAACUAGAAAGAAGUUAUCUGUCAAACUGCUUUGUGAUAUGUGAAUUCACCACAAAGAGUUAAAUCUUUCUUUUGUUGCAGCACGUUGGAAACACUUUUUCUGUAGAAUCUGCGAAGGGAUAAUUCAGAGCCAACAGAUGUGUAGAGUGAAAAACUGAAUAUCCUACAAUAAAAACUAGAAAUAAGCUAUCUGUGAUACAGCUAUUUGAUGCGUGGGUUCAGCUCACAGAGUUAAACCUUUCUUUUGAUUCAACAGGUUAUAAACAGUCUUUUGUAAAACCUGCAAAGGGACAUUGUAGAACCCACUGAGGGCUAUGUAAAAAAAAAAGAAUGUCUCACUAUAAAAACUAGAAAUAAGCUGUCUGUUAUACUGCUUUGUGAUGUGUGCAUUCAGCUCACAGAAUUGAACCUUUAUUUUCAGGCAGCAUGGUGGAAACUCUGUUUUUGUAGAAUCUGCAAAGGGAUAGUUUGGAGCCCACUGAGGCCUAUAGUGAAAAACUGAACAUCCAGUGAUAAAAACUAGAAAGAGGCUAUCUGUGAAGCUGCUUUGCAAUGUGUGCAGUCAACUCACAGAGAUAAAUUUUUGUUUUGAUUCAGCAGGUUGGAAAUUCUCUUUUGUAGAAUCUGUGAAGAGACAUUUUAGAGGUCACUUAGGUCUAUAGUGGAAAACAAAAUAUCUCAUGAUAAGAACAAGAAAGAAGCUAUCUGUGAAACUGCUUUGUGAGGUGUGCAUUCAGCUCACAAAGUUAAAGCUUUCUUUUGAUUCAACAGGUUGGAAACACUGUUUUUGUAGAAUUUGCAAAUGGGCAUUUCGGAGCCCACUGAGGUCUACAGUGAAAAACAGGAUAUCCCAUGGUAAAAAUUAGAAAGAAGCUGUCUGUGAAACUGCUUUGUGAUGUGUGCAUUCACUCACAGAGUUAAAUCUUUCUUUUGAUUCAGCAAGUUGGAAACACUCUUUUUGUAGAAUCUGUAGAGAAAUAUUUCAGAGCCCACUGCAGAGUAUAGUGAAAAAUUGAAUAUUUUGCAAUAAAAACUAGAAAGAAGCUAUCUGUGAAACUGAUUUGUGAUGGGUGGAUUCAGCUCACAAAGUUAACUGUUUCUUUUGCUUUAGCAGUUUGGAAACUGUUUUUGUAGAAUCUGCACAGGGACAUUUUGGAGUCUACAAAGGCCUUACAUGAAAAACUAAAUAUUUUGCGAUCAAAACGAUGAAGAAGCUAUCUGUGAAUUGUUUUGUUAUGUAUGGAUUCAGCUCACAGAGUAAAACCUUUCUAUUAAUUCAUCUGGUUGGAAAACUCCUUUUGGAGAAUCUGAGAAAAGACAUUUUGCAGCCCACUGAGGUCUAUAGUGAAAAACUGAAAAUCCUGCAGUAAAAACUGUAAAGAAGCUGUCUGUUAAACUGUUUUGUGAUGUUUGCAUUCAGCUCACAGAGUUUACCUUUCUUUUCAACCAGUAGGUUGGAAACACUCUUUUGAUAUUAUCUGUGAAGGGACAUUUGGAGCCUUCUGAGGCCUAUAGUGAGAAACAGAAUAUCCCAAAAUAAAAACCAGAAAGAAUUUAUCUAUGAAACUAUUUUGUGAUGAGUGCACUCAGCUCACAAGCUCACAGAAUUGUAACUUUCUUUUGAUUCAACAGAUUGGAAAUGCUCUUUUUGAGGAAUCUAGGAACAGAUAUUUUGGAGCCCACUGACGCCUAUAGUGAAAAAGUGAAUAUCCCAUAAUAAAAAUUAGAAAGAAGCUGUCUGUGAAACUACUUUGUGAUGUGUGCAUUCAGCUCACAGAGUUAAACUUUUUUUUUUUUUAUUCAGCAGGUUGGAAACAGUCUCUUUGUAGAAUAUGCAAAGGGACAUUUCAAAGCCCCCUGAGGUGAAUGGAGAAAAACCAAAUAUCUUGUGAUAAAAACUAGAAAGAAGCUAUCCAUAAAGCUGCUUUCUGAUGUGUAGAUUUAGUUCACAGAGUUAAAUCUUUAUUUGAUUCAGCAGUUUGGAAACACUCUUUUUGUAGAAUCUGCAAAGGGAAGUUUUGGAGCCUUCUGAGGCCUAUAAUAAAAAAACAAAAUAUCCCAUAAUAAAAAUUACUAAGAUACUAUCUGUUAAACUGCUUUCUGAUGUGUGGAUUAAACUCACAGAGUUAAAACUCUCUUGUGAUUCAGCAGGUUGGAAACACUGUUUUUGUAAAACCUGUGAAGGGACAUAUCGGAGCCCACUGAGGCCCAUACUGAGAAACAAAAUAUCCCACUACAAAAACAAAAAAAGCUAACUGUGAAACCACUUUGUGAUGUGUGCAUUUAGUUCACAGAGUUAAACCUUUCUUUUGCUUCAGCAGGUUGAAAACACUUUUUUUUGUAUAAUCUAUGAAGGGACAUUUCAGAGCCGAAUAGGCCCAUAGUGAAAAACCGAAUAUCCUGUUAUUAAAAAAACUAGAAAUAAACUAUUUCUGAAACCACAUUGUGAUGUGUGCAUCCAGCUCACAGAGUUAAACCUUUGUCUUGAUUAAGCAGGUUGGAAACACUUUUUUUGUAGAAUCUGCGAAGGGACAUUUCAAAGCCCACAGACACCUAGUUUGAAAAGCAGAAAUUCCCACAAAAUAAACUAGAAAUAAACUAUCUGUGAAAAUGCUUUGUGAUGUGUGGAUUCAGCUCACAAAGUUAACCCUUUCUUUUAAUUUAGCAGGUUGGAAACACUUUUGUUGUAGAAUCUGUGAAUAGACAUUUUGGAAUCUACUGAGGCAUAACCUGAAAAACUGAAUAUUUCACAAUCAAAACUAGAAAAAAAAACUAUCUGUGAAGUUGUUUUGUGAUGUAUGGAUUCAGCUCAUAGAGGUUGGGAACACUCUUUUUCUGGAAUCUGCAAGAAGACAUUUUGAAGGAAACUGAGGCCUAUAGUGAAAAACUGAAUAUUCUACAAUAAAUACUAGAAAGAAGCUAUCUGUGAAACUUCUUUGUGAUGUGUUGAUUCAACUCAUAGAGUUAAACCUUUCUUUGGAUUCAGCAGGUUGGAAUCACUCUUUUUGUAGAAUUUGUGAAGGGACAUUUUUGAGCCCAUUGAGGCCUCUAAUGAAAAACGAAAUAUCCCCAGCUAAAAACUAAAAAGAAGAUAUCAGUGAAACUGUGCUGUGGUUUGUGGAUUCAGCUCACAGAGUUACACCUUUCAUUUUAUUCAGCAAAUUGGAAACACUCUUCUUGUAGAAUCUGUGAAGGGAAAUUUGAGGCCCACUGGAGCCUACAGUGAAAAACAAAAUAUGCCUUGAUGAAAAAUAAACAGGAGCUAUAAGUGAAACUGCUUUGUGAUGAGUGGAUUCAGCUCAACGAUUUAAAUGACAUUUUUGAUUCAACAGCUUGAAGACACUCUUUUAAUAGGUUCAGUGGAGGGAUAUUACUGAACACACAGAGACCUAUAAUGAAAAACUGAUUGUUCUGCAAUGAAAACUAGAAAGAAGUUAUCUGUGAAAGUGCUAUAUAAUGUGUGGAUUCAGCUCACACAGUUAAACUUUCUUUUGAUUCUGUAGGUUGGAAACACUCAUUUUGUAGAAUCUGUGAAGGGAUACUUUGGAGCAAACUGAUGCCUAUAGUAAAAAACCGAAUAUCCCAUGUUAAAAACUACAAGAACCUAUCUGUGAAACUGCUAUGUGAUGAGUGUAUUGAGUUAACAGAGUUAGACCUUUCCUUUGAUUUAGCAGGUUUGGAACACUCUUUUUGUAGAAUCUUCCCGAGGAUAUUUCGGAGCCCACUGAAAACCAUAGUGAAAAAACAAAUAUACAGUGAUGAAAACUAGAAAGAAGCUGUCUGUGAAACUGCUUUGUGAUGUGCAGAUUCAGCUCACAGAGUUAAAACUUUCUUUUUAUUCAGCAGUUUGGAGACCCUUUUUUUCUAGGAACUGUGAGGGGACAUAUCAGAGCUUACUGAGGCCUAUAGUGAAAACCCAAAUAAUCCACAAUAAAAACUAAAAGGAAGCUGUCUGUGAAACUGUUUUGUGUUGUGUGGAUUAAGCUUAGAGAAUUAAACCUUUCUUUUGAUUCAGCAGGUUGGAAACACUCUUUUUGUCGAAUCUGUGAAGGGACUUUUGGUGGCCAAUGAGGCCUAUAGGGAAAACAAAAUAUCCAUCAAUAAAAUCUACAAAGAAGAAAUCUGUGAAACUCCUUUGUGAUGUGUGGAUUCAGCUCACAAAGUUAAACCUUUAUUUAGGUUCAUUAAGUUGCAAACACUCUUUUUGUAGAAUCUGUAAGGGUACAUUUCAGAUCACACUGAGAACUGUAGUGAAAAACUGAAUAUUCCUCAGUAAAAACUAGAUAGAAGCUAUCUGUGAAACUUCAUUGUAAGGUGUGCAUUCAACUCACAGAGUUCAAACUUUCCUUUGAUUCAGCGUGUUGGAAACACUCUUUUUGUAAAGUCUUCAAAAAGAUAUUUGAAGCAAACUGAGGCCUAUAGUAAAAGCUGAAUAUCUUGCCAUAAAAACUAGAAGAAAUCUAUCUGUGAAACUUCUUUGGGAUGUGAGCAUUCAGCUCACAGGAUUAAACCAUUCUUUUGAUUCAGCAGGUUGGAAACACUCUUUUUGCAGAAUCUGUGAAGGGAUAUUUCCAAGUCCAUGGAGACAUAUAGUGAAAAACUGAAUGUCCCAUGAUGAAAACUAGAAGGAAGCUCUCUGUGAAACUGCUUUGUGAUGUCUGACUUUCCUCAGAGAGUUAAAACUUUCUUUUAAUUCAGCAGGUUGGAAACAACCCUUUUUGUAAGAUCUUCAAAAUGACAUUUGAAACCCGAUGAGGCCUAUAGUGAAAAACUGAACAUUUCGUUAUUAAAAAAAAAAAAAAAAAAAAAAAACUAGAAAGAACCUAAGGUGAAGGGACAUUUCAAAGUACAGAGAUACCUAUAGUGAAAACCCGAAUAUUCUGUGAUAAAAAUUAGAAAGAAGUUACCUGUGAAAGUGCCAUGUGAUGUGUUGAUUCGACUCACAGGGUUAAACCUUUCUUUUGAUUCCAUAUGUUGGAAAAACUCAUUUUGUAAAAUCUGUGAAGGGAUAUUUAGGAGCAAACUGAGGCCUAUAGUGAAAAACGAAAUAUCUCAUGAUAAAAACUACUAAGAAGCUAUGUGUGACACAGCUUUGUGAUAUGUGCAUUCACCUCACAGAGCUAAACCUUUCUUUUGAUUCACCAUUUGGAAACACUCUUUCUGUAGGAAAUGCGAGGGGACAUAUCCGAGGCCACUGAGGCCUAUAGUAAAAACUCAAAUAUUCUGCAAUAAAAACUAGAAAGAAGCUAUCUGUGAAACUGCUUUGUGAUGUGUGGAUUCAGCUCACAGAGUUAAACCUUUCUUUUGAUUCAGCAAAUUUGAAACACUCCUUUUAAAGAAUCCACAAAGAGACAUUUUGGAGCCCAAUGAGGUCUAUGGUGAAAAACUGAAUUUCUGCCGAUUAAAACUAGAAAGAAGCAAUCUGUGAAACUGUUUUGCGAUGUGUGGAUUCAGCUCACAGAGCAAAACUUUUCUUUUGAUUCAGCAGGUUGGAAACCCUCUUUUUGUACAAUCUGUGAAAAGGCAUUUCACAGCCCACUGAGACCUAUAGUGAAAAACUGAAUAUCCCGUGAUAAAAACUAGAAAGAUGCUAUCUGUGAAACUCCUUUGUGAUGUCUGGAUUUUGCUCACAGAGUUAAAACAUUCUUUCAUUCAGCAGGUUGAAAACACUCUUUUUGUAGGAUAUGCAAAAAAAAAUUUCAAAGCCCACAGGGGCUGACAGUAAAAAAAAAAAAAAAAGGAAAAGAAAAUCCUAACAUUUUGUGAUUAAAAACUAGAAAGAAUCUAUCUGUGAAGCUGCUUUGUGAUGUGUGGAUUCAGCUCGCAGAGUUAAACCUGUCUUUUGAUUCAGCUGGUUGGAAACACUCUUUUUGUAUAAUCUGCAAAGGGACAUUUCAGAGUCCACUGAGACUUACAGUGAAAAACAAAAUAUCCUAUGAUAAAAACUACACAGAAGAUAUCUGUGAAACUGAUUUUUGAUGCGUAGAUUCAGCUUAUAGAGAUAAUUUUUUUUGAUUCAGCAGGUUAGAAACACUCUUUUCGUAAGAUCUGCAAAGAGACAUUUCAGAGCACACAGACCUACAGUAAAAAAAUAUAUAUAUAAAAACUAGAAACAAGCUAUCUGUGAAAGUGCUAUGUGAUGUGCCAUUUCAGCUCACAGAGUUAAAUUGUUCUUUUGAUUCAGUGGGAUGGAAACACUCAUUUUGUACAAUCUGUGAAGGGAUAUUUCAAUGCAACCUGAGGCUUGUAAUGAAAAACCCAAUAUCCAGCUAUAAAACUACAAAGAAGCUCUCUGUGAAACUGCUUUGUGAUAUAUGCAUUCAUUUCAGAGAGUUAAAACAUUCUUUCAACUCAGCAAGUUGGAAACCCUCUUUUUGUAGACUCUGCAAGGGAGGGGACAUUUAGGAACCGACUGAGGCCUAUAGUAAACAAGUGAAUAUUUCCUGAUCAAAACUAGAAAGGAGCUAUGGGUGAUACUGCUAUGUGAUGUGUGCAUUGAGUUCAGAGUCAAACCUCUUUCUGGCUUUAGCAGGUUGGAAACACUCUUUUUGUAGAAUUUGUGAGGGGACAUUUGGAGCCCACUGAGGCCUAUAGUGAAAAACAGAAUGUCCCACAAUAAAAACUAGAAAGAAGCUAUCUUUGAAACUGCUUUGUGAUGUGUGCAUUCAGCUCGCAAACUUAAAUUUUUCUUUGAUUCAACAUAUAGGAAACACUCUCUUUGAAGAAUCUGCGAGGUGACUUUUCUGACCCCACUGAGGCCAAUAGUGAAAAACCAAAUAUCCUGCAAUAAGAAUUAGAAAGAAGCUAUCUGUGAAACUUCCUUGUGAUGUGUGGAUUCAGCUCACAGAAGGAAACUUUUCCUUUGAUUAUGCAGGUUGAAAACCCUCUUCUUGUAGAAUCUGUGAAGGGAUAUUUCAGAGCAAACUGAGGCUUAAAGUGAAAAACUGACUAUUUCCUGAUAAAAACUAGAAAGAAGUUAACUGUUAAACUGCUUUGUGACGUGUGCAUUCUGCUCACAGAGUUAAACAUUUCAUUUCUUUCAGCAGGUUGGAAAUACUCUUUUUGUAGAAUAUGCAAAAGUACAUUUGGGAGAUCAUUGAGGCCUAUGGUGAAAAACUGAAUAUCCUGUAAUAAAAACUAGAAAGAAGCUAUCUGUAUAACUGCCUUGUGGUUUGUUGAUUCAGCUCACAGAAUUACACCUUUCUUUUG
RNAcentral lists this long non-coding RNA (11900 nucleotides) under Homo sapiens (human). RNAcentral's name for it is "HSALNT0136270". The record is from RNAcentral. Lineage: Eukaryota; Metazoa; Chordata; Mammalia; Primates; Hominidae.